AUGGCGGCGGCGGCGGUGGCGGGGUGCUUCCCCGCUUGCUGCCGCUGCGCGUCCUCCUCCCGGUCCCGGGUGACGGCCGCGUCCACGUCGGUCGCCGCCUGCGUGGUCCAGCCGCGCCGGAGGAGCAGGGCGUCGGCGUCGCCUUCCCUAUCUCGCCUGGGGCUCGGGGAGGCGGCGGCGAGGACGACGAUGAUCAGGACGACGACGAGGAGGGGGCGGCGGGCGUUCCGGGUGCGCGCGGGGGUGGGCGUGGAGAUCGCCAGCGCCGUGGAGGUGAUCAACGACCUGGGCUUCGACACCCUCACCUUCCUCGGCGUCACCGUCCUCGUCGUCCCCGCCUUCCGCGUCGUCAAGGCUAGCCCGAUCCUCGGCUUCUUCUGCGCCGGCGUCGUCCUCAACCAGUUCGGCCUCAUCAGGAACCUCACCGACGUCAAGCUCCUCUCCGAGUGGGGGAUCCUCUUCCUGUUGUUCGAGAUGGGGCUGGAGCUCUCCCUCUCUCGCCUCAAAGCCCUUGCCAAGUUCGCCUUCGGGAUCGGUUUGCCUCAGGUUCUUUUGUCAACGCUGGCCUUUGCGGCAUUUGAGCUUCCCCCUAAUGGUGCUAUUGGAACAAGAAUCCUGCAGUUCCUCUUUAAUUCAAGACCUGACCUGGUGAAUAUCAGGAGUGUCGACGAAGCAAUAGUGAUUGGAGCUGCCCUCUCCUUAUCUUCGUCUGCUUUUGUUCUUCAGCUUCUUGCUGAGAAAGGUGAGCUUGCAACAAGAUUUGGUUCGGCCACACUGGGAAUCCUCCUCCUCCAGGAUAUUGCCGUUGUUCCUCUCUUGGUCAUACUCCCUGUUCUAGAGAGUCAGAAUGUUGUGGAGCAAAGUGUGUGGCCUAUGCUACUAGCUGAAAGCUUAAAAGCACUGGGUGGACUUGGCAUACUUUCACUUGGAGGGAAAUAUCUCAUCAGGCGCAUCUUUGAGUUUGUUGCAGAGUCGAGGAGCUCAGAAGCAUUUGUUGCCCUCUGCCUUCUCACCGUUUCAGGAACCUCACUUCUCACCCAGUGGUUGGGCUUUAGUGACACUCUAGGUGCUUUUCUGGCUGGGGCCCUCCUUGCAGAAACAAACUUCCGUACGCAAAUAGAAGCUGACAUAAGACCAUUCAGAGGCUUGCUCCUUGGAUUGUUCUUUGUGACAACAGGAACUUCUAUCGACAUGCAGCUUCUCAUCCGUGAGUGGCCUAAUGUUCUAUCGCUGUUGGCUGGCCUUAUUGCAAUCAAGACAUUGAUAACUACUGCAUUAGCAACAAGAGUCGGACUAACUUUUCAAGAGAGUGUAAGGAUAGGAUUGCUGCUUUCUCAAGGAGGGGAGUUUGGGUUCGUGGUAUUUUCUUUGGCAAACAGGCUUGGCGUCCUACCGCUUGAGCUGAAUAAGCUGCUCAUUAUCGUCGUUGUGCUGUCAAUGGCAUUAACUCCGUUACUGAAUGACCUUGGAAGAAAAGCAGCAGGAAUCAUUGAUGAGAGAUCUGAAACAAAAGAAGUAAAACCAGCUGAGGAGGCAAAUUAUGGUGCGACUGAACCUAUUGUCAUUCUUGGCUUUGGAGAGAUGGGACAGGUCCUUGCAAAGUUUUUGGCUGCACCAUUAUCUUUCGGGCUCGAGCGAGAUACAGAAGGAUGGCCGUAUGUCGCGUUUGAUCUAAAUCCUGCUGUUGUAAAGUCAGCCAGAAAAUCAGGAUUUCCAGUGUUAUAUGGAGAUGGUUCGCGCCCCGCCGUUAUGCAAUCUGCUGGCAUAUCUUCUCCUAAAGCUGUCAUGAUCAUGUAUACCGGGAAGGAAGAAACAGUCGAGUCUGUCGACAGAUUGCGACAAGCUUUUCCUGCGGUUCCCGUGUAUGUUAGGGCUCAAGACAUGUCUCAUUUGUUGGAUUUAAGGAAAGCAGGUGCGACCGAUGUUGUUCUGGAAAAUGCUGAGACUAGCUUGCAACUCGGCUCGAUGCUUAUGAAAGGGCUGGGUGUCAUGUCUGAUGAUGUAUCUUUCCUGAGUAAGCUUGUGAGGGACUCGAUGGAGUUACAAGCUCAGGAGGCACUCAACAACGUCGAGUCUCGUGAAACUACUACCAUGGAGUCACUUCAGGUUAGGGUAUCGGACUUGGUCGAGUCCAAUGGGAACGGUUCCGGAAUGAUUCCCCGGGAGCAAUCGCUAGGUCUAAGCAGUCGCCCGGAGGUACGGGUGAUAAAAACGACUCCAGAGAAUCCCAUGCCUAAUUUGAACACCAAAAAUGAAUCUGAAGACGGUGUCAAAUAUUGUCUCCUGGAAACCGCUGACGGCGAGGAAACGGUGGAGCCUCCAGCGGAAGCAAGGAGAUGA
Molecule: ribosomal RNA, 2340 nt
Filed under: Triticum aestivum (bread wheat)
Lineage: Eukaryota; Viridiplantae; Streptophyta; Magnoliopsida; Poales; Poaceae
Description: partial small subunit ribosomal RNA
Source: RNAcentral